AGAGCUCAAAUUUAAAAUCUGGCAGUUUUGCUGUCCGAGUUGUAAUCUAGAGAAGCGUUUUCCGUGCUGGACCGUGUACAAGUCUCUUGGAAUGGAGCGUCGUAGAGGGUGACAAUCCCGUCUUUGACACGGACUGCCGGUGCUUUUGUGAUGCGCUCUCAAAGAGUCGAGUUGUUUGGGAAUGCAGCUCAAAAUGGGUGGUAAACUCCAUCUAAAGCUAAAUACAGGCGAGAGACCGAUAGCGAA
This 246-nucleotide ribosomal RNA is filed under the name Hygrocybe cf. lepida/cantharellus. RNAcentral's name for it is "partial 28S ribosomal RNA". It matches the Rfam family "Eukaryotic large subunit ribosomal RNA", at positions 104 to 344 of the family's 3401-position model. Lineage: Eukaryota; Fungi; Basidiomycota; Agaricomycetes; Agaricales; Hygrophoraceae. The record is from RNAcentral.